Molecule: ribosomal RNA, 253 nt
Filed under: uncultured bacterium
Lineage: Bacteria
Description: partial 16S ribosomal RNA
Rfam family: Bacterial small subunit ribosomal RNA
Source: RNAcentral
UACGAAGGGUGCAAGCGUUACUCGGAAUUACUGGGCGUAAAGCGUGCGUAGGUGGUUUGUUAAGUCUGAUGUGAAAGCCCUGGGCUCAACCUGGGAAUUGCACUGGAUACUGGCAGGCUAGAGUGCGGUAGAGGAUGGCGGAAUUCCCGGUGUAGCAGUGAAAUGCGUAGAGAUCGGGAGGAACAUCUGUGGCGAAGGCGGCCAUCUGGACCAGCACUGACACUGAGGCACGAAAGCGUGGGGAGCAAACAGG